GCACAAGCAGUGGAGUAUGUGGUUUAAUUCGAAGCAACGCGAAGAACCUUACCAGGUCUUGACAUCGUACGCUAUCUGUAGAAGUACAGAGUUCUCUUCGGAGACGUAUAGACAGGUGGUGCAUGGUUGUCGUCAGCUCGUGUCGUGAGAUGUUGGGUUAAGUCCCGCAACGAGCGCAACCCUUAUGUUUAGUUGCUACGCAAGAGCACUCUAGACAGACUGCCGUUGACAAAA
This 234-nucleotide ribosomal RNA is filed under the name uncultured bacterium. RNAcentral's name for it is "partial 16S ribosomal RNA". It matches the Rfam family "Bacterial small subunit ribosomal RNA", at positions 923 to 1163 of the family's 1533-position model. The record is from RNAcentral.